CCUACGGGUGGCUGCAGUGGGGAAUAUUGGGCAAUGGGCGCAAGCCUGACCCAGCAACGCCGCGUGAAGGAAGAAGGCCCUCGGGUUGUAAACUUCUUUUCUCAAGGACGAAACAAAUGACGGUACUUGAUGAAUAAGCCUCGGCUAAAUACGUGCCAGCAGCAGCGGUAAUACGUCGGUGGCAAGCUUUAUCCGGAUUGACUGGUUGUAAAGGGCGUGUAGGCGGGCGUGCAAGUAAGAUGUGAAAACCAUGGGCUCAACCCAUGCCCUGCAUUUGAAACUGUAGUUCUUGAGUGUUGGAGAGGCAGGCGGAAGUCCGGGUGUAGCGGUGAAAUGCGUAGAUAUACGGAGGAACACCAGUGGCGAAGGCGGCCUGCUGGACAAUAACUGACGCUGAGGCGCGAAAGCGUGGGGAGCAAACAGGAUUAGAUACCCGUGUAGUC
RNAcentral lists this ribosomal RNA (443 nucleotides) under uncultured bacterium. RNAcentral's name for it is "partial 16S ribosomal RNA". It matches the Rfam family "Bacterial small subunit ribosomal RNA", at positions 338 to 795 of the family's 1533-position model. The record is from RNAcentral.